Molecule: small nuclear RNA, 109 nt
Organism: Prolemur simus (greater bamboo lemur)
Lineage: Eukaryota; Metazoa; Chordata; Mammalia; Primates; Lemuridae
Source: Ensembl
GUGCUCACUUCAGCAACACAUAUACUAAAAACUUGGAAUGAUACAGAGAAGAUUAGCAUAGUCCCUGCACAAAGAUGACACACAAACUUAUGAAGCGUUCCAUUAAAAA